GACGCGACAAGUUCGCCUACAACAUGGUAA
This 30-nucleotide small RNA is filed under the name Bombyx mori (domestic silkworm). Its description in RNAcentral is "ovarian small RNA-5090". The record is from RNAcentral. Lineage: Eukaryota; Metazoa; Arthropoda; Insecta; Lepidoptera; Bombycidae.